UACGGAGGGGGCUAGCGUUGUUCGGAAUUACUGGGCGUAAAGCGCGCGUAGGCGGGUUGGUAAGUCCGCUGUGAAAGCCCGGAGCUUAACUCCGGAGGGUCGGUGGAUACUGCCAGUCUUGAAGGUGCUAGGGGGAGAUGGAAUUACCGGUGUAGCGGUGAAAUGCGUAGAUAUCGGUAGGAACACCAGUGGCGAAGGCGGUCUCCUGGGGCAUUCUUGACGCUGAGGCGCGAAAGCUGGGGGAGCGAACGGG
This 253-nucleotide ribosomal RNA is filed under the name uncultured bacterium. Its description in RNAcentral is "partial 16S ribosomal RNA". It matches the Rfam family "Bacterial small subunit ribosomal RNA", at positions 524 to 776 of the family's 1533-position model. The record is from RNAcentral.